GCCAUUGACGUCACCGGCAUCGACGGCGCUCCUCUCCAGCCUCGUGCCGCUGCUGGCAAUCGCGGUUCUGGCUAUGGCUUCGGCCCCAGGAGGAAUGGCGCGGGCGCUGGCGGUGCCGCGUGCUACCAGUGUGGCGAUUUCGGUCACCUCGCCAGGGACUGCAACCGGAGCACCAAUUCCGGCGGCGGAGGUGGUGGUGGGUGUUUCGUUUGCGGCGGGUUCGGUCACCUCGCAAGGGAUUGCGCGCGCGGAGGAAACAUCGGCGGUGGAGGCGGCGGAAGCGGCUCUUGCUUUAGGUGUGGAGGAUUUGGACACAUGGCGAGGGAUUGCGCCACGGCGAAAAGCGUCGGUGUUGGUGGUGGUGGUAGUGGUGGCGG
Molecule: long non-coding RNA, 377 nt
Filed under: Phaseolus vulgaris (common bean)
Lineage: Eukaryota; Viridiplantae; Streptophyta; Magnoliopsida; Fabales; Fabaceae
Description: long non-coding RNA (PVUL_LNC004246)
Source: RNAcentral